CUGCUGAUAUUAUUGCAGGAAAGUGUGUGGAUGUAAGCUGCAUCUUCAACACAACGUGCAAUGGAACAGCAGCACCUGUCUUAACUUGGGACACUCCCACUGAGGUACCUGGAUCAGUCUCAAACACUGUAACUCAGCAUGGUGUCACUCUGACCUAUACUUCUGUUCUGACCCUGACCCCAUCACUCAAACACCACGGACACACUCUCAGCUGCAGAGUGAGAUAUCCAUCUGUUUCAUCGGAGCGGACCCUCGUACUAACUGUGCAAGACAGUGGAGGAGAGAUUCUGCACGUGAUCCAGAUCCUGGGAAUACAAGCUGUGAUAUUCCUUGUGGCUGUGGUUAUCACUAUCGCUGGAGUCUGUGUCUGGGAGGGACAAACAGUGAAAGGAAGUCGACAGACUGUUUAAAGCUUUUGUACAGCAACAAUCUGCACAAACAGCAAUUUCCAAGCGGGCUCCCAUCAGCAGACAGAGUGCAAUGAAACAUCGGCAUGCCUGCUUCUUAAUGUACGGAGAGAAACCUGGAACGAGAGAUUCUCCUUCUUCUCCUCAGCAAGC
Carcharodon carcharias (great white shark) is the source of this 560-nucleotide long non-coding RNA. RefSeq lists it as uncharacterized. The transcript is spliced from 3 exons. NCBI's taxonomy places the organism in Eukaryota, Metazoa, Chordata, Chondrichthyes, Lamniformes, Lamnidae. The record is from RefSeq and is a predicted model, not a curated record.